This 29-nucleotide small RNA is filed under the name Bombyx mori (domestic silkworm). RNAcentral's name for it is "ovarian small RNA-11558". The record is from RNAcentral. Lineage: Eukaryota; Metazoa; Arthropoda; Insecta; Lepidoptera; Bombycidae.
ACGGAUGUCUUCAGCCCGCGCUGGCGCAG